AGAAAAGAAGAAAAGUGUCAU
This 21-nucleotide unclassified non-coding RNA is filed under the name Dictyostelium discoideum. Lineage: Eukaryota; Evosea; Eumycetozoa; Dictyosteliales; Dictyosteliaceae. The record is from RNAcentral.